This 490-nucleotide ribosomal RNA is filed under the name uncultured bacterium. RNAcentral describes it as "bacterial SSU rRNA". It matches the Rfam family "Bacterial small subunit ribosomal RNA", at positions 501 to 987 of the family's 1533-position model. The record is from RNAcentral.
CUACGUGCCAGCAGCCGCGGUAAUACGUAGGUCCCGAGCGUUGUCCGGAUUUAUUGGGCGUAAAGCGAGCGCAGGCGGUUAGAUAAGUCUGAAGUUAAAGGCUGUGGCUUAACCAUAGUAUGCUUUGGAAACUGUUUAACUUGAGUGCAGAAGGGGAGAGUGGAAUUCCAUGUGUAGCGGUGGAAUGCGCAGAUAUCAGGAAGAACACCGGUGGCGAAGGCGGGUCUCUGGGCCGUUACUGACGCUGAGGAGCGAAAGCGUGGGGAGCGAACAGGAUUAGAUACCCUGGUAGUCCACGCCGUAAACGUUGGGCACUAGGUGUGGGGGGCCUUUUCCGGGUCUUCCGCGCCGUAGCUAACGCAUUAAGUGCCCCGCCUGGGGAGUACGGCCGCAAGGCUAAAACUCAAAGGAAUUGACGGGGGCCCGCACAAGCGGCGGAGCAUGCGGAUUAAUUCGAUGCAACGCGAAGAACCUUACCAAGGCUUGACAU